RNAcentral lists this microRNA precursor (80 nucleotides) under Bombyx mori (domestic silkworm). RNAcentral describes it as "mir-2807 microRNA precursor family". It matches the Rfam family "mir-2807 microRNA precursor family". Lineage: Eukaryota; Metazoa; Arthropoda; Insecta; Lepidoptera; Bombycidae. The record is from Rfam by way of RNAcentral.
UUAACUCAGAUUUGUAUGGACUUAGAACAUGUUCCUACGUUUGCCGCUAGGGGCGCUGUUCCAACUGCAAAUUUCAGCUA